Molecule: long non-coding RNA, 800 nt
Organism: Austrofundulus limnaeus
Lineage: Eukaryota; Metazoa; Chordata; Actinopteri; Cyprinodontiformes; Rivulidae
Exons: 2
Source: RefSeq, a predicted model, not a curated record
GGUAAAACAGGUUUAGGUGAGGCGGCUGAGAGUGCUGCACUCAAACAGAAAAACAGAAAGAGAGAAAGAGCUGAGGCACAUUAGUUGUCUGGGUCACUUUGAUUCAGUUUUUACUGCAGAAAAGAAGAUCAAAGAAAAGGUGGACAUUUUGUUUGGAAAAACCAAGAUACAAAAAGAAGACACGUGUGGAUGUAAACAGAAGACUUUCUACAACUUCUCCUGGUCAAGCCUUAGACUGACUGAUUGGUUCUGGCCCCACCCUCCUGAGACUCUGCCAUGUCUUCAAACAUCAACAUUUCCCUGGAAAACCCGUACGGUCAGGUGACCAUCCCACGGGCGAAGCUCCGCUCUUCUGUUGACAUGGGAGCAACAGUUAUAGCCAAUCCAAUGGCUUUAAACAGCCAGAACCCAUAUGCUGAGAAGAGCUCCGCCCCCCCACCAUAUAUGGUCAAAGAGGAUGAAGGAGGGCAGGAGGAGAUUGGCUGCUGCCGUGCGUGCUGCUACCGCUGCCGCAGGAGGAAGUGACAUCAUCAUAACAGGAGKACUGUGAUUGGCUCAGUUUCAGGGUCUCUUCACCAUCAAGGGCCAAUCGUGCUUUUAAUGACCUGCAAGCAAUCCCACCCUGCAAGACCAGGACUCCAAGAACCUAUACAGGACUGAAGAGAUCCAGAACACACCUGACCUCCAAGAGCUUUACAGAACCUGGAAACUCUGAAGAACCUGAGGAACCUGAAGAACCUGAGGAACCUGUGGAACCUGAAGAACCUGAGGACUCUGGGAAAUGUGAGGAUUCUGAGGAA